UAAAGUGGCGUACGGGUGAGUAACACGUGGAUCAUCUACCCUGGAGUGGGGAAUAACGCUGGGAAACCGGCGCUAAUACCGCAUAAUCCCGAGAGGGCAAAGGAGCAAUUCGCUUCAGGAGGAGUCCGCGGCCGAUUAGCUAGUUGGCAGGGUAAAAGCCUACCAAGGCAACGAUCGGUAGCCGGCCUGAGAGGGCACACGGCCACACUGGCACUGAAACACGAGCCAG
Molecule: ribosomal RNA, 229 nt
Filed under: uncultured bacterium
Lineage: Bacteria
Description: partial 16S ribosomal RNA
Rfam family: Bacterial small subunit ribosomal RNA
Source: RNAcentral